Molecule: ribosomal RNA, 711 nt
Filed under: uncultured bacterium
Lineage: Bacteria
Description: bacterial SSU rRNA
Rfam family: Bacterial small subunit ribosomal RNA
Source: RNAcentral
CUAAUACCGAAUAAGUUCCAAGGGCCGCAUGGCCCAUGGAAGAAAAGGUGGCCUCUACCUGUAAGCUAUCGCCUGAAGAGGGGUUUGCGUCUGAUUAGCUGGUUGGAGGGGUAACGGCCCACCAAGGCGACGAUCAGUAGCCGGUCUGAGAGGAUGAACGGCCACACUGGAACUGAGACACGGUCCAGACUCCUACGGGAGGCAGCAGUGGGGAAUCUUCCGCAAUGGGCGAAAGCCUGACGGAGCAGCGCCGCGUGAGUGAUGACGGCCUUCGGGUUGUAAAACUCUGUGAUCCGGGACGAAAAGGCAGACUGCGAAAAACAGACAGCAUUGACGGUACCGGAAAAGCAAGCCACGGCUAACUACGUGCCAGCAGCCGCGGUAAUACGUAGGUGGCAAGCGUUGUCCGGAAUUAUUGGGCGUAAAGCGCGCGCAGGCGGCUUCCCAAGUCCCUCUUAAAAGUGCGGGGCUUAACCCCGUGAUGGGAAGGAAACUGGGAAGCUGGAGUAUCGGAGAGGAAAGUGGAAUUCCUAGUGUAGCGGUGAAAUGCGUAGAGAUUAGGAAGAACACCGGUGGCGAAGGCGACUUUCUGGACGAAAACUGACGCUGAGGCGCGAAAGCGUGGGGAGCAAACAGGAUUAGAUACCCUGGUAGUCCACGCCGUAAACGAUGGAUACUAGGUGUAGGAGGUAUCGACCCCUCCUGUGCCGG